RNAcentral lists this ribosomal RNA (1487 nucleotides) under uncultured Bacteroidota bacterium. Its description in RNAcentral is "bacterial SSU rRNA". It matches the Rfam family "Bacterial small subunit ribosomal RNA". Lineage: Bacteria; Pseudomonadati; Bacteroidota. The record is from RNAcentral.
GAGAGUUUGAUCCUGGCUCAGGAUGAACGCUGGCGGCAGGCUUAACACAUGCAAGUCGAGGGGUAUAGGUUUUCGGACCUAGAGACCGGCGCACGGGUGCGUAACGCGUAUGCAAUCUACCUUUUACAGAGGGAUAGCCCAGAGAAAUUUGGAUUAAUACCUCAUAGUAUUAUUGAAUGGCAUCAUUUAAUAAUUAAAGUUCCAACGGUAAAAGAUGAGCAUGCGUCCCAUUAGCUAGAUGGUAAGGUAACGGCUUACCAUGGCGACGAUGGGUAGGGGUCCUGAGAGGGAGAUCCCCCACACUGGUACUGAGACACGGACCAGACUCCUACGGGAGGCAGCAGUGAGGAAUAUUGGUCAAUGGGCGCAAGCCUGAACCAGCCAUGCCGCGUGCAGGAUGACGGUCCUAUGGAUUGUAAACUGCUUUUGUACAGGAAGAAACACUGGUUCGUGAACCAGCUUGACGGUACUGUAAGAAUAAGGAUCGGCUAACUCCGUGCCAGCAGCCGCGGUAAUACGGAGGAUCCAAGCGUUAUCCGGAAUCAUUGGGUUUAAAGGGUCCGUAGGCGGUUUUGUAAGUCAGUGGUGAAAGCCCAUCGCUCAACGGUGGAACGGCCAUUGAUACUGCAAGACUUGAAUUACUAGGAAGUAACUAGAAUAUGUAGUGUAGCGGUGAAAUGCUUAGAUAUUACAUGGAAUACCAAUUGCGAAAGGCAGGUUACUACUGGUGGAUUGACGCUGAUGGACGAAAGCGUGGGGAGCGAACAGGAUUAGAUACCCUGGUAGUCCACGCCGUAAACGAUGGAUACUAGCUGUUCGAGAGCAAUCUUGAGUGGCUAAGCGAAAGUGAUAAGUAUCCCACCUGGGGAGUACGUUCGCAAGAAUGAAACUCAAAGGAAUUGACGGGGGCCCGCACAAGCGGUGGAGCAUGUGGUUUAAUUCGAUGAUACGCGAGGAACCUUACCUGGGCUAGAAUGCUAAGUGACCGUGGGUGAAAGCUCAUUUUGUAGCAAUACACACUUAGUAAGGUGCUGCAUGGUUGUCGUCAGCUCGUGCCGUGAGGUGUUAGGUUAAGUCCUGCAACGAGCGCAACCCCUGUCACUAGUUGCUAGCAUUAAGUUGAGGACUCUAGUGAGACUGCCUACGCAAGUAGAGAGGAAGGUGGGGAUGACGUCAAAUCAUCACGGCCCUUACGCCUUGGGCCACACACGUAAUACAAUGGCCGGUACAGAGGGCAGCUACACAGCGAUGUGAUGCAAAUCUCGAAAGCCGGUCUCAGUUCGGAUUGGAGUCUGCAACUCGACUCUAUGAAGCUGGAAUCGCUAGUAAUCGCGCAUCAGCCAUGGCGCGGUGAAUACGUUCCCGGGCCUUGUACACACCGCCCGUCAAGCCAUGGAAGUCUGGGGUACCUGAAGUCGGUGACCGUAACAGGAGCUGCCUAGGGUAAAACAGGUAACUAGGGCUAAGUCGUAACAAGGUAGCCGUAG